This 540-nucleotide ribosomal RNA is filed under the name Trigonopterus sp. 701 AR-2022a. Its description in RNAcentral is "partial large subunit ribosomal RNA". It matches the Rfam family "Bacterial large subunit ribosomal RNA", at positions 1885 to 2625 of the family's 2925-position model. The record is from RNAcentral. Lineage: Eukaryota; Metazoa; Arthropoda; Insecta; Coleoptera; Curculionidae.
GGCUUGUUGAGUAUAAUUUCAAGUCUUACCUGCCCACUGAGGUGAUUAAAUGGCCGCAGUAUAUUGACUGUGCAAAGGUAGCAUAAUCAUUAGUUUUUUAAUUGAAAGCUUGUAUGAAGGGUUUGAUGAGAAAAUUUCUGUCUCUUGAUAAAUUUAUUAGAAUUUUAUUUUUAAGUUAAAAAGCUUAAAUUUUUAUUGAAGACGAGAAGACCCUAUAGAGUUUUAUAUAUAUAUUUAUUUAUAGUGUUUGUGGAAUAUUAAAUGUUAAGAAUUUUUGUGUGUGUUUUGUUGGGGUGAUUGGAAAAUUUAAGUAACUUUUCUUUUUGUGUAAUAUUGAUUUGUAAAUGAAUGAUCCUAGGUUUUAGAUUAUAAGAUUAAAUUACCUUAGGGAUAACAGCGUUAUUUUUUUAAGAGUUCUUAUCGAAAAAAAAGAUUGCGACCUCGAUGUUGGAUUAAAAUUUAUUGCUGGUGAAGAGGCUAGUAGAUUAGGUCUGUUCGACCUUUAAAAUUUUACAUGAUCUGAGUUUAAACCGGUGUAAG